ACGUGUUACAAUGGGGGGUACAGAGGGCCGCUACCACGCAAGUGGAUGCCAAUCCCCAAAACCUCUCUCAGUUCGGAUUGAAGUCUGCAACCCGACUUCAUGAAGCUGGAUUCGCUAGUAAUCGCGCAUCAGCCACGGCGCGGUGAAUACGUUCCCGGGCCUUGUACACACCGCCCGUCAAGCCAUGGGAGCCGGGGGUACCUGAAGUGCGUAACCGCAAGGAGCGCCCUAGGGUAAAACUGGUGACUGGGGCUAAGUCGUAACAAGGUACC
RNAcentral lists this ribosomal RNA (272 nucleotides) under uncultured bacterium. Its description in RNAcentral is "partial 16S ribosomal RNA". It matches the Rfam family "Bacterial small subunit ribosomal RNA", at positions 1220 to 1500 of the family's 1533-position model. The record is from RNAcentral.